AGAACAGGGCAAAACCGGACAAAUGACAGUGAAAAGCGGACUAGUGGCAACUCUAUCACUCCGUUGUUUUCUUGUUUCUUUCUCUCCUAUUCUCACACUCCGCUCCAGUAGGGGGCGAUAUGGUAGCGCUACAGCUUCAAACUUCCCGUUUAACACUUUCGCACGUUUCCGUCUGCGCCAUUUUCUUCUGCCAAAUGUUCGGUUCGUGCACCACAUCUUGGUGAUUCACAAACUAAUUGUACACUACUCUACUAAAACAUGGGAAGGAAAAAGAAGAAGCAGAUGAAGCCAUGGUGUUGGUAUUGUAAUAGGGAUUUUGAUGACGAAAAGAUUCUUAUUCAGCACCAGAAAGCCAAACACUUUAAGUGUCACAUAUGUCAUAAAAAGCUAUACACUGGUCCGGGCCUGGCCAUCCACUGUAUGCAGGUUCACAAAGAAACAAUUGAUGGUGUUCCCAAUGCAAUACCUGGAAGAACAGACAUUGAACUGGAAAUUUAUGGGAUGGAGGGUAUUCCAGAGAAAGAUAUGGAAGAAAGGAGACGGGUACUCGAGCAGAAAACACAGGAAAACCAGAAAAAGAAACAGAACCAAGAUGACUCAGAUGAGGAUGAUGAUGAUGAAGAGGCAGGACCCUCAUUCCAGCAGGCAGCAGCCCAGCCUCCGGCCGCUUACACUCCUAUGACACAGCCUGGAAUGGCGCCUGUGCCCACACCAGGGAUGCCACCUGGGAGCUACUCAGGAAUGCCACCAAUGAUGCCUGCAGUCCCCCCCAUGAUGCCAGGGAUGCCCCCAGUCAUGCCAGGAAUGCCACCUGGCAUGAUGCCCAUGGGUGGGAUGAUGCCACCUGGACCAGGAAUGCCUCCGAUGAUGCCAGGCAUGCCACCAGGCAUGCCCCCUCCUAUGGGUCAUCGUCCAGGUAUGAACCACAUGCCACAGGCUCCUGCCUCCACCACGUCAGGCAUGAUCCCACGAGCAGCCACACCUGCAGCCACAGUGGCUGCUCCACAGCCUGCUGUCACCAAGCCCUUGUUUCCUAGUGCAGGACAGAUGGGGACUCGAGCUCCCAGCACAAGCUCAGCCUCUUCCAGUAUGGACACUUUGUCAGCACCCUCUAAGCCGCUGUCGCAAGCUCAGCAGGGUGUGCCUGGGGCAGCAGUGGGGCUUUCAGCCUCUUCUUCUGCUGCUCCCAAAGCCACAUUCCCAGCCUACAGUCAGCCUGCGCCCUCUGCUGCCAGUGCAGGCAGCACUGUGGCCAAACCUGCCACCCCCAUUACAAGUAAGCCUGCCACCCUCACCACUACCAGUGCAACCAGUAAGUUGAUCCACCCUGAUGAGGAUAUCUCUCUGGAAGAGCUGCGUGCUCAACUACCACGCUACCAGUGUAAGAUCCCUAGCACAGGGCAGACGCACAUCAGCACUCCUCCUGUUGGGCCAAUGGGAGGGGUGAUACCUGCUCAGCAGGGUGCUUCUUCACAGCAGCCAGGAGCCAGGCAUCCCAUGCAUGGGCCAUAUGGUACCCCAUCCCAGGCAGUGCCUGGCUAUGUGCCAGGGGCAAUGUCACCUUACGGGCAAGGCCCCCCAAUGGUUCCUCCUUACCAGGGAGCUCCUCCAAGGCCGCCCAUGGCCAUGAGGCCUCCUGUAAUGUCCCAGGGAGGCCGUUAUUGAAGCUCAAACACCAGUCUCCGAUAGGUUUGGUUUUUAGAAGUGAAGUUUAGUAAAUAUGGUUCGUAAUAAUUUGAAGCGGCUGGAGUAACGUGAACAGUACUGCACCUUUUAUCAAGCGAUGCCAUGGGACCGGCUGAGGUUGAGUCUCACUGGUGCCCUGUUCAGGCUGAGGCAAGUCUCAUAUUUUUCUCUUUAAAUUCUUACGAGCGGGGGGCCCUCACAGCCUCAUGGCUGUUGGAUUCCAAUGUCCCCAAACUUGUAGCAAGUUUGGUGAUGGCCCCUGUUAUUAUUCACAUUAGAGAAAUCCUAUAACUAACCUCUUCUGCUUUUGUUUCCGAAGUGCAGAGGUGGGAACAAGUAACAAGUAAGUUUCAAGUCUUAAUACUCAAGUCCUAAGUAAAGACAGAGGAGUCCCAAAUCCUGAACAAGUCAAAAUGCGUUCCUUACCACAUUGAAUCCCAUUUAAAAAUUUAACAUUAACAAAGUAUUAAAGCCAUGGUAUAUUAUUUAUAAAUGUUGUUAACAACAGAAUAAACAAAAAUGUAUUCUUUGGACCACACCUAAAAUGACAUAAACAUGUGGCACUGAUCAAAAAAAAGUGUUUUGGAAUUGACCCUGCAGUGGUAUGUGGCAUUUAUUUGCCUUUGUGGUAAAGGCACUUAUUUGCCUUUGCUUCCCAAACUCCAGAAAAUAACUCUUCCAGAAAGUAACUUUAGUUGUGCUUUCCCCAAACUUAUAAUGUGCAUCAUGCACAUUAAAAUAAUAAAAUAAUACUGCUCAGGGAUGUCAAACUCCAGUCUUGGUGGGAUACAGACUUAUUUAUUUUUCCUCUUUUGACAAGCCAAAUGUAGACCAUGAAGGUCUCUGUAAUUACCUGAUGAGUUUAUUCAGCUGUGUAAAUAUAGAUAAAAUGCUAAAAUUUUGCAGUCCUCCAGGACUGGAGUCUGACACCCCAAUAUAGUAUUUACCAAUACUACUCAGUUGAUAAAUAGCUUAACUUUAAAGUAAAAAAUAAAAGUAAAGGUGCAGUCACAUUUAGGAACUGUGGUUUAAAAUAAUAGAUUUCCUGCUGUCCAGCACUACCAACACUAAAUGCUAAAUGCAGAUCUUUACCUGAUAUUGGUCAACCUGAAUACUCAAUCUUAUUUGGUUUAGUUAUCAGACAAAACUACUUAAAUGUCUGCUAAUAGAUUUCUAACUAUUUAUGGAGGUCUAGACAUACUGUUCCUUGUGUAGCCUCUAAGGCCAAAUGAGAUUGGAGGUAAUGCUUGCCCAAAUGUUUUAUUAACAUUUGUUGUUAACAGCCUAGUGUUUGUAAUUAGAGUUGCUAGUUCUUGGUAGCAUGUUGACACCUGCUCAAGUGUCCCUUUAUUUAAACACUGGUGCGAUCCCUCCAUCUCCCAAGAGGAGUAAGUUUAUGGGUGUUAAAGUCAAGUUGCAAGUCUUAAUUAUUUUUAGGUUGAGUCUUUAGUGAUUAAAUUUGUGACUUGACCAAGCCAUGUGACUCAAGUCCCACUCUUCUGCCAAAGUGAUACCCAGUUCUCUAGUUGGUGCUCGUGACUAUCAGAUGUAAUGUACUAAUGAUGUUUUUUCUUAGAGCCCUCAAACAUUUUUUUUAACUCAGUACGCGGUGCCUGUGUUUGAGCAAGCAGUUAUACUGAAAUUUACAAUGGAUUUACAAAAUAUACUGAUAACUCAAUGGAUAAGCAAAAACCAAAGCUAAUUUUUGAGCUUUGGUACGAUGCAGCCAAUAUCUAAUGGUACAGCAGACAUUGAGAUAUUUUUCUAAAAUGGCACUAAAGGAAUACUCAGUAUGCACUGGCAAUUUUUUAUUUAAGAUAACACAGAUAUGACUUUUGCAGUGCUGUUUGUUGGUCUUGCUCUUCGUGUUUGUUUCACAUCAGAUACUGAUCAUAUUACCUGUUGUCACUGACUCAGGUUAGUCUUUUAAAUGGCAAGCUUUCUGCCCAAAUCUUUUAGUUCUCUCUUGUUUUUCCAAUUUUUUUCCCCCCCAAUUUUUAUUUAUUUAUUUAUUUUUUUUAUAAAUGGUUUGACUGCUUUUUGUAGCUGUGCUACAGCUGGUUUACAUUAGACUUACUGUGGACCAGAGCAGUUUGUGUAGCUGUAGAGAAAUGACAUCUGUUGCAUACCUGUAAUGAUAACUUUACACCACGUAUACAAUGGAUAUAAAAGGUCUACACACCCCUGUUAAAAUGGCAGGAUUUGUGAAGUAAAUAAUGACACUAAGAUAAAUCUUAAAUGUCAGAUCUUGUCAUCUUUGAUGUGCAACUGCAAAGUACAGUGCAGUGAAAAACAAUCAGAAACUUUGAUUGAUUAAAUUAUCUAUUUGCACAAGUGUGCACACCCCUAAACUAAUACUUUGUUGAAUCACUUUUUGAUUUUAUUACACCACUCAGUCUUUUUGGGUAAGAGUCUAUCAUCGUGACUUGGCAAUAUUUUCCACUUUUCCUAGUGAAAACAUUCUAGAUCUGUCAAAUUGUGAGGGCAUCUCCUGUGCACAGCCCACUUCAGGUCACCCCACAAAUUUUUAGUUGGAUUCAUGUCUGGGCUCUGGCUAGGCCAUUCAAAAACUUUGAUCUCCUUUGGUUAAGCCAUUCCUUUGUUGGUUUGGAUGUAUGGUUUGGGUCACUGUCGUACUGAAAGGUGAAAUUCCGUUUCAUCUUCAGCUUACUAGCAGACCCCUGAAGGUUUUGCACUAAAAACAACAGGCAUUCAUGAUUCUCUCCACCUUGAUAGCCCCAGGUCUGGCUGAAGAAAAGCAGCCCAAAGCAUGAUGCUGGCAUACCCAUGCUUCAUCACGGGUAUGGUGUUCUUUUGGUGUUUUUUUUAUUUAUUUAUUUAUUUUUUUGGUGCCGAACAUGCCUUUUGGAAUUGGUCUCAUCAGACCAUGACACAUUUUACCACAUAGUUUGGAGUAAUUUAGUUGAGCUUGGAUGAUUUUUGUGAGAGAGGGCUUUUUAUCUAGCCACCCUAUCCUAUAGCUCAGGCAUAUGAAUAAUAUGAGAGGUUGUUGUCACAUGCAGAGAGUAAUCAGUACUUGUCUGAUAUUCCUGCAGCUCCUUUAAUGUUGACGUAGGUCUCCUGGCAGCCUCCCUAGUAAGUUUUUGUCUUGUCCUUUUGUAAUUUUUGGAGGGACAUCCUUUUCUUGGUAAUGUCACUGAGGAGCUCCAUUUUCUCCACUUGUUGAUGAUGGCCUUCACUGUGUUCAAUUGUCCAGCUAAUGUUUUGGAAAUUCUUUUAUAUCCCUCUCCAGAUCGAUUCAUUUUGACAGUGAGACCAUGUACAGUCUUUGUCAGUUCUUUACAGACCAUGGCUUCAGCGGUCAGAUGAAACCAUGAUAUCAAGGAAAUCCUACAGAAACAGCUGGUCUUUAUUUGGGGUUAAUCAGAAUAAUUUCAUUGAUGACAGCUGUAUGAUAAUUACUUUUGAACAUGAGACUGAAUGUGAUUGGUUCAUUCUAAACAUAGCCACAUCCCCAAUUAUAAAAGGGUGUGCACAAUUACGAAACAAGGUUAUUGUAACUUAAAAAAGGUUAUUUUUCCUAUUUUUCCCUAAAAUGUUUCUGAUUGUUUUUCACUUAAUUUUUAUACAUUCUAAUUUCACAAUGAGGAUGAAAAAAGUUCUGACAUGAUUUAUCUUGGUUUAAUUUUUUUUUCAUCACAAAAACUUACCAUUUUAAAAGGGGUGUGUAUACUUUUUAUAUCCCCUGUAGACUAAAUCAUCACCUUUUUUUCGAAUAAAUAUUUGUUAAAAGAUUAACAAAAUUAUGUGCAAAUUAAAUUGAAAUACAUUUUGUAUUAAUUUUAUUUGAAUAUUUGUUGUACGGUUUAGAAUUUUUUGGGGGGAAAUUUAGAAAAUACUAUUUGUUGUUGCUUAACCUAGAGAUGCUACACCUGAAUUCGUUUUUAUAACAUGAAUUUAUAUUGUCUCCAGUGAGAUGCUUUUGCUCAUGAAUCUUUAAAAAAAAAAAAAAAAACUCUGGUUUUGUCUGCUUCAUUGCUGUUAUGUUGUAUGUCUGUGAACGUGCACACACUCAGAGGAGUACAUCCAUCACUUAGUGUUCACCGUUUCAGUAGUAGUCAGCAUUGUGUGAUGUGUCGUCAGCUCCAGUGGUAUGAUGUGGAUAUGUAAUAUGAUUUAAAAAAUGUUACUUAAUGGAUAAUAAUGGAAAAAAAUAUUACAUUUCAGAAUCUUCUGCUUAAAGCUCUUCACUGUGUUUUUGUAACUUACAACAUAUUAAAGGUAAAAUGAGUUUUUAAUACAACACCAGCAGAGUAUCAUUAGAAAAAGUUUGUUUUCCUCCAUCAUUGAAAUAAAGUAUACAUAAAGACUA
RNA transcript from Pangasianodon hypophthalmus (striped catfish), 6019 nucleotides. It is a transcript of the gene named zinc finger protein 207, a, with no coding region annotated. The record is from RefSeq and is a predicted model, not a curated record. The transcript is spliced from 13 exons. NCBI's taxonomy places the organism in Eukaryota, Metazoa, Chordata, Actinopteri, Siluriformes, Pangasiidae.